RNAcentral lists this long non-coding RNA (208 nucleotides) under Olea europaea (common olive). RNAcentral describes it as "long non-coding RNA (OEUR_LNC001249)". The record is from RNAcentral. Lineage: Eukaryota; Viridiplantae; Streptophyta; Magnoliopsida; Lamiales; Oleaceae.
AUGAGUCCAUUGGCAUUACAAGAACACAGUGUACCCGCUAAAAUUGGUGGCAAAGCGGAAUCACCAACACUCCCUUGAGCAAAGUUCUUAACUGACCUAGAGCCAAACCCGAGAGGUACUGUACCAAAUUGAAUGUCCACCACGGUACUGAACUUGUCCAAAUGUCUCUGAACUGGUUCUGCGCUUCCCUGCAAGAUGUACAAUUGGG